AAUAGUUUAUAAAUAAUAUCUCAUAUAUCCCUGUAAUAUGGUCAGGAGUUUCUACGGGUUGCCACUAUAACAAGCCGCUAUGAGUAAAAAAUGAAUUUGA
This 100-nucleotide non-coding RNA is filed under the name Fusobacterium mortiferum. RNAcentral describes it as "Guanine sequence". It matches the Rfam family "Purine riboswitch aptamer". Rfam says of the family: Riboswitches are metabolite binding domains within certain messenger RNAs that serve as precision sensors for their corresponding targets. Allosteric rearrangement of mRNA structure is mediated by ligand binding, and this results in modulation of gene expression. A class of riboswitches that selectively recognises guanine and becomes saturated at concentrations as low as 5 nM. The record is from RNAcentral. Lineage: Bacteria; Fusobacteriati; Fusobacteriota; Fusobacteriia; Fusobacteriales; Fusobacteriaceae.